RNAcentral lists this ribosomal RNA (253 nucleotides) under uncultured bacterium. RNAcentral's name for it is "partial 16S ribosomal RNA". It matches the Rfam family "Bacterial small subunit ribosomal RNA", at positions 524 to 776 of the family's 1533-position model. The record is from RNAcentral.
UACGUAGGGGGCGAGCGUUGUCCGGAAUUAUUGGGCGUAAAGAGCGUGUAGGCGGUCCGGUAAGUCAGCUGUGAAAGUCAAGGGCUCAACCCUUGAAAGCCGGUUGAUACUGUCGGGCUAGAGUCCGGAAGAGGCGAGUGGAAUUCCCGGUGUAGCGGUGAAAUGCGCAGAUAUCGGGAGGAACACCAAUGGCGAAGGCAGCUCGCUGGGACGGUACUGACGCUGAGACGCGAAAGCGUGGGGAGCAAACAGG